GCCUGAUGCAGCUAUACCGCGUGUAUGAAGAAGGCCUUAGGGUUGUAAAGUACUUUCGUUGGGGAGGAAAAAUAAAUAGAUAAUACCUGUUUAUCGUGACGUUACCCAAAAAAGAAGCACCGGCUAACUCCGUGCCAGCAGCCGCGGUAAUACGGAGGGUGCAAGCGUUAAUCAGAAUUACUGGGCGUAAAGAGCUCGUAGGCGGUUUUUUAAGUCAGAUGUGAAAUCCCUGGGCUUAACCUAGGAACUGCAUUUGAAACUAAAAGACUAGAGUAUCGUAGAGGGAGGUAGAAUUCUAGGUGUAGCGGUGAAAUGCGUAGAUAUCUGGAGGAAUACCUGUGGCGAAAGCGGCCUCCUAAAUGAAUACUGACGCUGAGGUGCGAAAGCAUGGGGAGCAAACAGGAUUAGAUACCCUGGUAGUCCAUGCCGUAAACGAUGUCGACUUGGAGGUUGUUUCCUUGAGAAGUGACUUCCGAAGCUAACGCGUUAAGUCGACCGCCUGGGGAGUACGGUCGCAAGGCUAAAACUCAAAUGAAUUGACGGGGGCCCGCACAAGCGGUGGAGCAUGUGGUUUAAUUCGAUGCAACGCGAAAAACCUUACCUGGUCUUGACAUCCACAGAAUUUUUCAGAGAUGAAAAAGUGCCUUAGGGAACUGUGAGACAGGUGCUGCAUGGCUGUCGUCAGCUCGUGUUGUGAAAUGUUGGGUUAAGUCCCGCAACGAGCGCAACCCUUAUCCUCUGUUGCCAUUGGUUCGGCCAGGAACUCAGAGGAGACUGCCGGUUAUAAACCGGAGGAAGGCGGGGACGACGUCAAGUCAUCAUGGCCCUUACGACCAGGGCUACACACGUGCUACAAUGGUGUAUACAAAGAGAAGCAACUCUGUAAAGACAAGCAAACCUCAUAAAGUACCA
RNAcentral lists this ribosomal RNA (912 nucleotides) under Buchnera aphidicola (Prociphilus erigeronensis). RNAcentral's name for it is "bacterial SSU rRNA". It matches the Rfam family "Bacterial small subunit ribosomal RNA", at positions 381 to 1286 of the family's 1533-position model. The record is from RNAcentral. Lineage: Bacteria; Pseudomonadati; Pseudomonadota; Gammaproteobacteria; Enterobacterales; Erwiniaceae.